Molecule: long non-coding RNA, 784 nt
Organism: Carassius auratus (goldfish)
Lineage: Eukaryota; Metazoa; Chordata; Actinopteri; Cypriniformes; Cyprinidae
Exons: 4
Source: RefSeq, a predicted model, not a curated record
CCCCCUCUCUCACCCUCGCCUGGGUCCCAAUGAGUUCAUCGUUAAACGAAUCCAAAAACAUCGGGGAAAUGGUACACGGUCUACUUAAUGUCCUGCUCCUAGACCAAUGCAGUCAUUGGUACUGUUGACUUUGGAUCUGGACUGCAUGAACUGUUUUUUACUUUGAAGCAGUUGGUGGAGAUGUAUGUAAUGAAGUUUGCUGCCAAAGGUGAAGCCCAGCUGGGCGGUGCAAGAAGUUGGAGGACAUGAUGAAGCUUUGGGGAGACCGGUAAUCUGACCCUUCUGCCACUUCACCAGAUGGCUAAAUAAUUCCCAGGACUUUAGCCCAAUUGAUCCUGGACCCUAUCUUUAAUAUAUUUGAUGCCAUCAUGAACUUCAUUGGCAGAUCCUGCCUGGAGACCCCAUGGAAGCCAAUUCCAAGCCUGCCCAGAUGGUGGCUGACACACAAAAGCGCAAGGGACUCGAAGGCAUUCUAGCUUUAGACAACUACUUGGACAAAUUGUAGAUUUACACUAGAGGCAUGACCAUAGUUUUUAGGUGGUCUUGUUGUCUGCCUUAGGCAGGCAUCUGUAUUACAGAUCAACAGGCAAAUGGUGGCUUUUCUCACCUCCUAGUGGGAUUUAAAAAUUUAGUCAAAUGAGUUGCACAAUUUAUGUACUGUGGUAUGUGGAUAUUCUGUGCUUGCUGUGAUAUCAUUAAAAGAUAAUAACAGUCUACCUCAAUGUAAAAUAUUUCUGGAAGACUCAUGUUUUUGUAAGCCUGAAAUACAAGUCUUAAUCAGCAA